GAGGCUGUCCGAGGCUAUAUUAGGGAUUAGGGUUAGUUUUUCGGGGCCAUUUGAGCUUUGAAGGCUAAGGUCAACAAGUUUAGGUUUUUGGCAAUGGUUUUUGUACAAGUUUUGUAUGAUUUGGAGUUUAUAUGAAGGAGAUAUAGGCACUCAAAGUUAAGGUAUUGAUUUGAGAGCUACUGUCACUCUUUUUAGCACAACGCACGCAUACAGAAGGCAAUUGAAGAUCGAUGACUGUGACUAGAGAGAGCACUUUUGCAGCUAUACUUUUUGUAUACAACUUACUAGAUUCAAAGUUGAAAUGAAGGAGUUAUUGGAUUUUGAAGUGAGUGCCUGCAAUCUAAGGGUAGUAAGUGACCCGAUUUACUAGUAGUUGUGUCUUGAGCUAUAUCUUGAGCAAUUUGAUAAGAUUUUGGCUAAAAUAUUAUAAAAAAUGUGUAAAUUUAUGUUAUUAAACUUUAUACAUAAAUUUGAUGAUAUUUAAAUAUAAGGUUCUUGAGAUAUUAAAAAAAUA
RNAcentral lists this long non-coding RNA (514 nucleotides) under Physcomitrium patens. Its description in RNAcentral is "long non-coding RNA (PPAT_LNC005567)". The record is from RNAcentral. Lineage: Eukaryota; Viridiplantae; Streptophyta; Bryopsida; Funariales; Funariaceae.